Molecule: long non-coding RNA, 214 nt
Filed under: Homo sapiens (human)
Lineage: Eukaryota; Metazoa; Chordata; Mammalia; Primates; Hominidae
Description: long non-coding RNA NONHSAT170942
Source: RNAcentral
CUCCUUCACCCAGUCCCCUGCCCUAAAUCCACCUCUGCUCUUUCCUGGCACUGGAUGCCUACUUGGAGGAGGAGCCUUCUGGAGACACCGACCCUCGACCCCGAGUUGUGAGUCUGACUGUGGAAAUCCUUGGCCCCCAGGGCAGGCCCAUGCAGGGUUUGGAGGAUAAAUUUGGAAACGAAAAGGUUUUCUGGAGCCCCUCAAAUCACACAGC